CAGCCGCCGCGGUAAUACGGAGGGUGCAAGCGUUAAUCGGAAUUACUGGGCGUAAAGCGUGCGUAGGCGGUUCGUUAAGUCUGUUGUGAAAGCCCCGGGCUCAACCUGGGAAUGGCAAUGGAUACUGGCAAGCUAGAGUGUGUCAGAGGAUGGUGGAAUUCCCGGUGUAGCGGUGAAAUGCGUAGAGAUCGGGAGGAACAUCAGUGGCGAAGGCGGCCAUCUGGGACAACACUGACGCUGAGGCACGAAAGCGUGGGGAGCAAACAGGAUUAGAUACCCCAGUAGUCCCUGUCUCUUAUAC
RNAcentral lists this ribosomal RNA (301 nucleotides) under uncultured bacterium. RNAcentral describes it as "partial 16S ribosomal RNA". It matches the Rfam family "Bacterial small subunit ribosomal RNA", at positions 509 to 807 of the family's 1533-position model. The record is from RNAcentral.